This is a long non-coding RNA of Vicia villosa (hairy vetch), 771 nucleotides long. RefSeq lists it as uncharacterized. The record is from RefSeq and is a predicted model, not a curated record. The transcript has 2 exons. NCBI's taxonomy places the organism in Eukaryota, Viridiplantae, Streptophyta, Magnoliopsida, Fabales, Fabaceae.
GUUAAAACUUUUUAUAACUAUAAAUAAAUAGUAUAAAUAAAUAAGAUGCAUGCAGUUGUAGCUAGCGCUGCAUCUAUGUAUGUACUCAUAGUGUAUGACGUACUAGUUAUGCACUUUUAUCUUAUGUGUGUACUUAUAGUGUAUGACGUACUAGUUAUGCACUUUUAUCUUAUGGAAUAAAACAUAAAUCAAUAAUAAUUAGGGAAAUUCUACGGUGCAUUCGCCCAUUUGACUUCAGUGGUGAAGUCACUGUCUGACCAAUCAGAAUUAAGCCCUAAGUCCUAAUAGUGCCACAGUGGACUGAAGCAUUAAAUGACCCUUAUUGACACUUACUGUGGUCCGGGAAAAGCAUGGUGAGAACAAUGGAGGAACAGUACCGGCGUAAGCUUUUUUGUUUCAGAUUUUUAAGCGCUUUUGUUUCAGAUUUUUAAGUUCAUAAAGUGCGGGGGCGUGGGUUCGAUCCCAGCCACCUGCAGUUUUCCUUUACCUUUUUUUUAAAUGAUGCACGCUGGUGGUUCGUUUCGUCUGUCCCGUACUUCAAAUCAAUGAGAUUGGACACAAUUGUUUGGCAGGCACAAAGCUCACCAAAUUUUGUAUGCGAUAUUCAAUGAUCAUACAGAGGCUACUCUAAGCUUAUUAUUGGCUUUCAUGUGCUACUUAUGGGAAACAAUAUAUUAUUUGUUCUUUUUGUGACUGUAAAUAAUGUGAUCAAAAGUUUAUGCGGUGGAGAUCAAUGAAUUUACUAAUAUUUAUAGAGCAGUUUAUGGUUUA